GGCGUGGUGUAAUGGUAGCAUAUCGGUCUCCAAAACCGAGGGUUUGAGUUCGAGUCUCAACGCCUUUGCCA
RNAcentral lists this transfer RNA (71 nucleotides) under Caudoviricetes sp. RNAcentral describes it as "tRNA-Trp". It matches the Rfam family "tRNA". From Rfam's summary of the family: Transfer RNA (tRNA) molecules are approximately 80 nucleotides in length. Their secondary structure includes four short double-helical elements and three loops (D, anti-codon, and T loops). Further hydrogen bonds mediate the characteristic L-shaped molecular structure. tRNAs have two regions of fundamental functional importance: the anti-codon, which is responsible for specific mRNA codon recognition, and the 3' end, to which the tRNAs corresponding amino acid is attached (by aminoacyl-tRNA synthetases). tRNAs cope with the degeneracy of the genetic code in two manners: having more than one tRNA (with a specific anti-codon) for a particular amino acid; and 'wobble' base-pairing, i.e. permitting non-standard base-pairing at the 3rd anti-codon position. Lineage: Duplodnaviria; Heunggongvirae; Uroviricota; Caudoviricetes. The record is from RNAcentral.